AGCGCAGUGGCCGAGUGGUAAGGCGUCGGUCUCGUAAACCAAAGAUCACGAGUUCGAACCUCGACUGUGCCU
Molecule: non-coding RNA, 72 nt
Organism: Hydractinia symbiolongicarpus
Lineage: Eukaryota; Metazoa; Cnidaria; Hydrozoa; Anthoathecata; Hydractiniidae
Source: the annotation of a RefSeq genome assembly